CUUGGUGGCGAGUGGCGGACGGGUGAGUAACGCGUAGGAAUCUACCCAAUAGCGGGGGAUAGCCCGGGGAAACUCGGAUUAAUACCGCAUACGCCCCAAGGGGGAAAGCAGGGGAUCUUCGGACCUUGCACUAUUGGAAGAGCCUGCGUUGGAUUAGCUAGUUGGUAGGGUAAAGGCCUACCAAGGCGACGAUCCAUAGCUGGUCUGAGAGGAUGAUCAGCCACACCGGAACUGAGACGCGGCCCAAACUCC
Molecule: ribosomal RNA, 252 nt
Filed under: uncultured bacterium
Lineage: Bacteria
Description: partial 16S ribosomal RNA
Rfam family: Bacterial small subunit ribosomal RNA
Source: RNAcentral